GGCGAGUGGCGAACGGGUGAGUAAUACAUCGGAACGUACCCAGAAGUGGGGGAUAACGUAGCGAAAGUUACGCUAAUACCGCAUACGUUCUACGGAAGAAAGUGGGGGAUCGCAAGACCUCAUGCUUUUGGAGCGGCCGAUGUCUGAUUAGCUAGUUGGUGAGGUAAAGGCUCACCAAGGCGACGAUCUCUAGCUGUUCUGAGAGGAAGAUCAGCCACACUGGAACUGAGACACGGUCCAGA
Molecule: ribosomal RNA, 242 nt
Filed under: Schmidingerella taraikaensis
Lineage: Eukaryota; Ciliophora; Spirotrichea; Tintinnida; Rhabdonellidae
Description: partial Bacterial small subunit ribosomal RNA
Rfam family: Bacterial small subunit ribosomal RNA
Source: RNAcentral